This 424-nucleotide ribosomal RNA is filed under the name uncultured bacterium. Its description in RNAcentral is "bacterial SSU rRNA". It matches the Rfam family "Bacterial small subunit ribosomal RNA", at positions 355 to 774 of the family's 1533-position model. The record is from RNAcentral.
UCGAGAAUCUUCCGCAAUGGACGAAAGUCUGACGGAGCGACGCCGCGUGCGGGAUGAAGGCCCUUGGGUUGUAAACCGCUGUCAGAGGGGAUGAAAUCUUCGGAGGUACUCCUCCGAAGUUGACAGAGCCUCAAAGGAAGCACGGGCUAAGUACGUGCCAGCAGCCGCGGUAACACGUACUGUGCGAACGUUAUUCGGAAUCACUGGGCUUAAAGGGUGCGUAGGCGGCGAUUCAAGUCAGAUGUGAAAUGCCUGAGCUCAACUGAGGCAUUGCGUUUGAAACUGAACCGCUAGAGUAUUUCAGGGGUGUGCGGAACUGCCAGUGGAACGGUGAAAUGUGUUGAUAUUGGCAGGAACACCGGAGGCGAAGGCGGCACACUGGGGAAUAACUGACGCUGAGGCACGAAAGCCAAGGGAGCGAACG